RNAcentral lists this ribosomal RNA (169 nucleotides) under uncultured bacterium. Its description in RNAcentral is "partial 16S ribosomal RNA". It matches the Rfam family "Bacterial small subunit ribosomal RNA", at positions 337 to 524 of the family's 1533-position model. The record is from RNAcentral.
UCCUACGGGAGGCAGCAGUGGGGAAAUUGCGCAAUGGGGGAAACCCUGACGCAGCGACGCCGCGUGGAGGAUGAAGGUCUUCGGGUUGUAAACUCCUUUUCUUGGGAAAGAUAGUGACGGUACCCAAGGAAUAAGCCACGGCUAACUCUGUGCCAGCAGCCGCGGUAAU